CCUACGGGGGGCUGCAGUGAGGAAUAUUGGUCAAUGGGCGGGAGCCUGAACCAGCCAAGCCGCGUGAGGGAAGAAGGUACAGCGUAUCGUAAACCUCUUUUGUCAGGGAACAAAGGCGGGGACUAGUCCCCGGAUGAGGGUACCUGAAGAAAAAGCAUCGGCUAACUCCGUGCCAGCAGCCGCGGUAAUACGGAGGAUGCGAGCGUUAUCCGGAUUUAUUGGGUUUAAAGGGUGCGCAGGCGGUCUGUUAAGUCAGCGGUCAAAGCCCGGGGCUCAACCCCGGCCCGCCGUUGAAACUGGCAGUCUCGAGUUGGAGAGAAGUAUGCGGAAUGCGCGGUGUAGCGGUGAAAUGCAUAGAUAUCGCGCAGAACUCCGAUUGCGAAGGCAGCAUGCCGGCUCCACACUGACGCUGAGGCACGAAAGCGUGGGUAUCGAACAGGAUUAGAUACCCCGGUAGUC
RNAcentral lists this ribosomal RNA (459 nucleotides) under uncultured bacterium. Its description in RNAcentral is "partial 16S ribosomal RNA". It matches the Rfam family "Bacterial small subunit ribosomal RNA", at positions 338 to 795 of the family's 1533-position model. The record is from RNAcentral.